This is a long non-coding RNA of Capra hircus (goat), 393 nucleotides long. RefSeq lists it as uncharacterized. The record is from RefSeq and is a predicted model, not a curated record. The transcript has 4 exons. Lineage: Eukaryota; Metazoa; Chordata; Mammalia; Artiodactyla; Bovidae.
AUGCCAUGCAGACCCCCAUGGCAGGUGUCCAGGGUGCCCAUGGACCCAGGAACCCCUUCCAGACUGGGAACAAGCAAACAGUACUGGACAGAUGGAUGACACACAAAGGGCCUAUUCACUCAGUGGGAAAAUCCUCACCUCACAUUUCUCAUCCUCUGCUGCUGUUUUCUGUGUCACAAGCUGAGAAAUCAGAUGCUCAAAUUUGGAAGAAGCCUCCAAUGGUUUGAUUUCGUAAGUGAAGUCAUCCAGCUGCAGCAUGCCACGCAGACCCCCAUGGCAGGUGUCCAGGGUGCCCAUGGACCCAGGAACCCCUUCCAGACUGGGAACAAGCAAACAGUACUGGACAGAUGGAUGACACACAAAGGGCCUAUUCACUCAGUGGGAAAAUCCUCA